This 253-nucleotide ribosomal RNA is filed under the name uncultured bacterium. RNAcentral describes it as "partial 16S ribosomal RNA". It matches the Rfam family "Bacterial small subunit ribosomal RNA", at positions 524 to 776 of the family's 1533-position model. The record is from RNAcentral.
UACGUAGGGGGCAAGCGUUAUCCGGAUUUACUGGGUGUAAAGGGAGCGUAGGCGGCCAUGCAAGUCAGAAGUGAAAGCCCGGGGCUCAACCCCGGGACUGCUUUUGAAACUGUAAGGCUAGAUUGCCGGAGAGGUAAGCGGAAUUCCUAGUGUAGCGGUGAAAUGCGUAGAUAUUAGGAGGAACACCAGUGGCGAAGGCGGCUUACUGGACGGUCAAUGACGCUGAGGCUCGAAAGCGUGGGGAGCAAACAGG